GAGACUUUAUAGAGAGGGGUGUCGAAUUGAACUUAGAAGACAAAAAGCAGAUGGGAUCAGGUAGGAAGAAAAGAUAUUCAUUCAACAAAUAUAAGUACGUUUUAUACUCAGAUAUCAUUUUAGAGACUGUAACAGUCAACAAAACAGACACCAGUGUUCGUUCUAGUGGAGCUUGAUUCUUAUGAGAGGAGACACAAAACUCACAGUAAACUCAACAGACAGGUCAAUGGUCCAGCUUUGUUGAGAGAUGGCAGAGAAAAAGAAAGAGUAGAGCAGGAUAAAGACAUGGCAUGGUAGAAUAAGCAAGAGACUUAGUGGAGACAGAGCAGGAGACAUAUUUCCAGGGGUUGAUGUAGCAAACUGCCACAAGCUCAGAGACUUAAAACAUUACAGAUUUAUUAUUGCACUGUUUUUGAGGUCAAGAGUAUACAAUAGGUGUCAUGGGGCUAAAGUUGAGUGUCGGGAGUCCUGGUUCUUUUGUGAGGCCCUAGGAAAGAAUUGAAUGCUUUGCUUUUUCUAGCUUCUCAAGGGUGCCCACAUUCAUUUGGCUUCUCUCCAUCACCCAACUUCUUGCUUUUGUCCUCACUACUCCUCCUCCUGACUCCCUUGCUGCGUGCCUCUUACAAGAACUCAUGUUGUCACACUGUGUCCACUGGAAUCAUCCAGGGUCAUCCCAUUUGCCGACUUAAUCACGUCUGCCAGACGCCACCUGAUCUGUAAGGUAACAUUCCCACGUCUGGGGAGUAGGACGUGGAUAUCUUUGAGGGCCCAUUCCUCAGCUCUUUGCAGGGUAUCAGCCAUGCGGGCUGAUAAGAUCCCAAGGAGGAAGUGUGCCUGGAACAUGCAAAAGAACACCUGGAAGGAGACCAGUGUCAGAGGAGAGGAAUGAGUGAGACAUUUCAGCUUUCAUUCUGCUGUCACCGGGACCCAUCGGGAUGUUCUGAGGAAAAGUGCAAGAGGAAUCAAACUUCUUAUCUUCACAAGAACAGACUUUAAAAUGAGCAGUCAGGAGGUGACUGCAACAGUCUGAGCUCCCGGUGACCUGCUGGGCCCCUGACAUCUGAACUAGUGAACACCCACCCUCUGGAGACCAUGCAACACUCCGAGACUGUGGACAUGGGUUUCACUCUAAGCACUGAGGUCAACAGACAAACAUGAGAAGUUACCUCGUUACCCAGUGACUUAAGUAAAAUAAAAGGCAAACAAUCGUGCUGAGAAAGCAGAUGUGCACAA
Long non-coding RNA from Erinaceus europaeus (western European hedgehog), 1233 nucleotides. RefSeq lists it as uncharacterized. NCBI's taxonomy places the organism in Eukaryota, Metazoa, Chordata, Mammalia, Eulipotyphla, Erinaceidae. The transcript is spliced from 4 exons. The record is from RefSeq and is a predicted model, not a curated record.